AUCGCUUCUCGGCCUUUUGGCUAAGAUCAAGUGUAGUAACAUUCUAGGCACAAAUGCAUGCAUUUCUUUGAUUUUAUGCCUUGAGGUGGAGCUGUCAUAGGUCAGUUUUAGUACAUUAUGCUUUCCAAAUUGGUUGUAUAAAUUACACCUCCACACGCAGAAUAUGAGAUUUCCUGAAACUACACAUUUUGUAGCCACU
This 199-nucleotide small nuclear RNA is filed under the name Myotis davidii. Its description in RNAcentral is "U2 spliceosomal RNA". It matches the Rfam family "U2 spliceosomal RNA". From Rfam's summary of the family: U2 is a small nuclear RNA (snRNA) component of the spliceosome (involved in pre-mRNA splicing). Complementary binding between U2 snRNA (in an area lying towards the 5' end but 3' to hairpin I) and the branchpoint sequence (BPS) of the intron results the bulging out of an unpaired adenosine, on the BPS, which initiates a nucleophilic attack at the intronic 5' splice site, thus starting the first of two transesterification reactions that mediate splicing. Lineage: Eukaryota; Metazoa; Chordata; Mammalia; Chiroptera; Vespertilionidae. The record is from Rfam by way of RNAcentral.